AACGUAAUUAAGACAAACAAUGACUGUCUAUGUAUUCAAUGUAUGGGAGGGAAGUCGCAGUAUGCUGGGAGCAAUGAUGAGAUUGUACGUUUCGGAUAAUUAUAAACAUCAUGUUUUUACUGUGUAUUCUAUUCGUACAGCCCAGCGUCAAUGAGUUAGCAUUUCCUGCUUGCUCUCGCAUCUUAAUAAAGCGUAUGUGGGAUUUAGAAAUGUACUUAGAAAAAUAUUAAUGUUAUUUUUUUAUACAUUUCGUUAAAAUUUGGACAUAAUUAGGCGAAUAGAUUAAUUACAUCAAAAAUGUAGUACCGAAAUUGUGAUUUAACAAUUAUUUGACUGAACUGGAAUGGGUCGAAAAAUGUGUCCAAUCGAAACAAAGCAAGCGGAGUCGAAGCUAAAAAUUAUCCUGUGAAAUUAUGAUUUGAAUGCUGCAAUAACACUUAAUCAUUUUUAUGGUCGUAUUACAAAUACUAAUUAUUGUUUUAAUUUUAUUGCGUAUAUUACUACGCAGACCUAUACUAUGAUGCUGUUAAUCAUUAUGUUUCUCCCCGUAAUGACAAUCCAAUAUUCAAUUAAAGUUCAUGGGAAGGUCGAACUAGCUAACGAUGUGUCAAGCAUUUGGAAAUACUUAUCUAAAGUGAUUAAUAUUCCAAAAAUUAAUUUUCCCGAAGAAAAUGCUAACGUACCUAAAGAAGCCGUAACUCAACUUCUGCGAGACGAGAUAAAAAAGUACGAGAUUAUUCAUCUGUUUGGGAAUCAUGCAAAAACAUUAAAAGGAAAUCCAUAUGUUAAUAAUAUUAAUGUUUAAAAA
This is a long non-coding RNA of Pieris brassicae (large cabbage white), 808 nucleotides long. RefSeq lists it as uncharacterized. The record is from RefSeq and is a predicted model, not a curated record. NCBI's taxonomy places the organism in Eukaryota, Metazoa, Arthropoda, Insecta, Lepidoptera, Pieridae. The transcript is spliced from 2 exons.